GCGAUUACUAGCGAUUCCGACUUCAUGAAGUCGAGUUGCAGACUUCAAUCCGAACUGAGACGACCUUUAUGAGAUUCGCUUCACAUCACUGUGUCGCUGCUCUUUGUGGUCGCCAUUGUAGUACGUGUGUAGCCCAGGCCAUAAGGGGCAUGAUGAUUUGACGUCAUCCCCACCUUCCUCCGGUUUGUCACCGGCAGUCUCGCAUGAGUCCCCAACUUGAUGCUGGUAACAUGCGACAAGGGUUGCGCUCGUUGCGGGACUUAACCCAACAUCUCACGACACGAGCUGACGACAACCAUGCACCACCUGUGUGAUCCAUAAUUAUCUCUCUAUCUCUAGAGCCUUUGCAUCCAUGUCAAGGCCUGGUAAGGUUCUUCGCGUUGCUUCGAAUUAAACCACAUACUCCACCGCUUGUGCGGGCCCCCGUCAAUUCCUUUGAGUUUCACACUUGCGUGCAUACUCCCCAGGCGGAGAACUUAUUGCGUUAACUGCAGCACUGA
Molecule: ribosomal RNA, 500 nt
Filed under: uncultured bacterium
Lineage: Bacteria
Description: partial 16S ribosomal RNA
Source: RNAcentral